This 291-nucleotide ribosomal RNA is filed under the name uncultured prokaryote. Its description in RNAcentral is "partial 16S ribosomal RNA". It matches the Rfam family "Bacterial small subunit ribosomal RNA", at positions 505 to 796 of the family's 1533-position model. The record is from RNAcentral.
GUGUCAGCAGCCGCGGUAAUACGUAGGGGGCGAGCGUUAUCCGGAAUUAUUGGGCGUAAAGGGUUCGCAGGUGGUCUGAUAAGUCAGAUGUGAAAGGCAGUGGCUCAACCAUUGCAAGCAUUUGAAACUGUCAGACUUGAGUACAGGAGAGGAAAGCGGAAUUCCUAGUGUAGCGGUGAAAUGCGUAGAUAUUAGGAGGAACACCAGUGGCGAAGGCGGCUUUCUGGACUGAAACUGACACUGAGGAACGAAAGCGUGGGGAGCAAACAGGAUUAGAUACCCCAGUAGUCC